AUUGAACGCUGGCGGCAGGCCUAACACAUGCAAGUCGAGCGGAUGAAGGGAGCUUGCUCCUGGAUGCAGCGGCGGACGGGUGAGUAAUGCCUAGGAAUCUGCCUGGUAGUGGGGGAUAACGUCCGGAAACGGGCGCUAAUACCGCAUACGUCCUGAGGGAGAAAGUGGGGGAUCUGCGGACCUCACGCUAUCAGAUGAGCCUAGGUCGGAUUAGCUAGUUGGUGGGGUAAAGGCCUAACAAGGCGACGAUCCGGAACUGGUCUGAGAGGAUGAUCAGUCACACUGGAACUGCGACACGGUCAAUGCUCCUACGGGAGGCAGCAGUGGGGAAUAUUGGACAAUGGGCGAGAGCCUGAUCCAGCCAUGCCGCGUGUGUGAAGAAGGUCUUCGGAUUGUAAAGCCCUUUAAGUGGGGAGGAAGCGCAGUAAGUUAAUACCUUGCUGUUUUGACGUUACCAACAGAAUAAGCACCGGCUAACUUCGUG
Molecule: ribosomal RNA, 484 nt
Filed under: uncultured bacterium
Lineage: Bacteria
Description: partial 16S ribosomal RNA
Rfam family: Bacterial small subunit ribosomal RNA
Source: RNAcentral